This 683-nucleotide ribosomal RNA is filed under the name Pseudomonas sp. SQ22. RNAcentral's name for it is "bacterial SSU rRNA". It matches the Rfam family "Bacterial small subunit ribosomal RNA", at positions 57 to 735 of the family's 1533-position model. The record is from RNAcentral. Lineage: Bacteria; Pseudomonadati; Pseudomonadota; Gammaproteobacteria; Pseudomonadales; Pseudomonadaceae.
GCAAGUCGAGCGGUAGAGAGAAGCUUGCUUCUCUUGAGAGCGGCGGACGGGUGAGUAAUGCCUAGGAAUCUGCCUGGUAGUGGGGGAUAACGUUCGGAAACGGACGCUAAUACCGCAUACGUCCUACGGGAGAAAGCAGGGGACCUUCGGGCCUUGCGCUAUCAGAUGAGCCUAGGUCGGAUUAGCUAGUUGGUGAGGUAAUGGCUCACCAAGGCGACGAUCCGUAACUGGUCUGAGAGGAUGAUCAGUCACACUGGAACUGAGACACGGUCCAGACUCCUACGGGAGGCAGCAGUGGGGAAUAUUGGACAAUGGGCGAAAGCCUGAUCCAGCCAUGCCGCGUGUGUGAAGAAGGUCUUCGGAUUGUAAAGCACUUUAAGUUGGGAGGAAGGGUUGUAGAUUAAUACUCUGCAAUUUUGACGUUACCGACAGAAUAAGCACCGGCUAACUCUGUGCCAGCAGCCGCGGUAAUACAGAGGGUGCAAGCGUUAAUCGGAAUUACUGGGCGUAAAGCGCGCGUAGGUGGUUUGUUAAGUUGGAUGUGAAAUCCCCGGGCUCAACCUGGGAACUGCAUUCAAAACUGACUGACUAGAGUAUGGUAGAGGGUGGUGGAAUUUCCUGUGUAGCGGUGAAAUGCGUAGAUAUAGGAAGGAACACCAGUGGCGAAGGCGACCACCUGGACC